CCUACGGGAGGCAGCAGUGAGGAAUAUUGGUCAAUGGGCGUAAGCCUGAACCAACCAAGUCGCGUGAGGGAUGAAGGUCCUACGGAUCGUAAACCUCUUUUAUAAGGGAACAAACUGCGGGACGUGUCCCGUUUUGGAUGUACCUUAUGAAUAAGGAUCGGCUAACUCCGUGCCAGCCGCCGCGGUAAUACGGAGGAUCCGGGCGUUUUCCGGAUUUAUUGGGUUUAAAGGGUGCGUAGGCGGCGUUGUUAGUCCGCGGUGAAAGGUUGUGGGCCAACCACUGAAUUGCCGUGGAAACUGGGAGGCUUGAGUGUGUGUGAGGCAGGCGGAAUGCGUGGUGUAGCGGUGAAAUGCAUAGAUAUCACGCAGAACGCCGAUUGCGAAGGCAGCAUGCCGGGCCAUGACUGACGCUGAUGCACGAAAGCGUGGGGAUCGAACAGGAUUAGAUACCCCGGUAGUC
This 460-nucleotide ribosomal RNA is filed under the name uncultured bacterium. RNAcentral's name for it is "partial 16S ribosomal RNA". It matches the Rfam family "Bacterial small subunit ribosomal RNA", at positions 338 to 795 of the family's 1533-position model. The record is from RNAcentral.